UACGUAGGGACCAAGCGUUGUUCGGAUUUACUGGGCGUAAAGGGCGCGUAGGCGGCGCGGUAAGUCACUUGUGAAAUCUCUGAGCUUAACUCAGAACGGCCAAGUGAUACUGCAGUGCUAGAGUGUGGAAGGGGCAAUCGGAAUUCUUGGUGUAGCGGUGAAAUGCGUAGAUAUCAAGAGGAACACCUGAGGUUAAGACGGGUUGCUGGGCCAACACUGACGCUGAUGCGCGAAAGCCAGGGGAGCAAACGGG
This 253-nucleotide ribosomal RNA is filed under the name uncultured bacterium. RNAcentral's name for it is "partial 16S ribosomal RNA". It matches the Rfam family "Bacterial small subunit ribosomal RNA", at positions 524 to 776 of the family's 1533-position model. The record is from RNAcentral.